RNAcentral lists this long non-coding RNA (308 nucleotides) under Malus domestica (apple). RNAcentral's name for it is "long non-coding RNA (MDOM_LNC004658)". The record is from RNAcentral. Lineage: Eukaryota; Viridiplantae; Streptophyta; Magnoliopsida; Rosales; Rosaceae.
UUAGAUGUUAGUGGCACUUGUCCACAACAUAAUACUACUCAUGUUAUAUGACAUUCACCGAAGAUCACUCUCGAUUGGACUAUAGUUUAUUUUGAAUAAACACAAGUCCGAAUACUUUGCAAAAGGUUUCAAAGAAUUCAAGAAAUGUAAGUUGAUGAGUAAGACGUCUAAAGUAUUUACCUCCUUAGAUUUGAUCCAAGGAAAGAUAACACUUUAGAACAGUUUCCUUGAAUAAUAUCAAGGAAAGAAGCAUCAAAAGAUAAUGGAUUUCUCCAUUAGGAGAAGAACGAACUUGAAUAAGAUUUAGU